GCACAGGUGGUGAAAUUGGUAUACACGCUACUUUGAGGGGGUAGUGGCAGCAAUGCCGUGGGAGUUCGAGUCUCCUCCUGUGCA
This 84-nucleotide transfer RNA is filed under the name Paludibacteraceae bacterium. RNAcentral's name for it is "tRNA-Leu". It matches the Rfam family "tRNA". From Rfam's summary of the family: Transfer RNA (tRNA) molecules are approximately 80 nucleotides in length. Their secondary structure includes four short double-helical elements and three loops (D, anti-codon, and T loops). The record is from RNAcentral. Lineage: Bacteria; Pseudomonadati; Bacteroidota; Bacteroidia; Bacteroidales; Paludibacteraceae.